Molecule: ribosomal RNA, 256 nt
Filed under: uncultured bacterium
Lineage: Bacteria
Description: partial 16S ribosomal RNA
Rfam family: Bacterial small subunit ribosomal RNA
Source: RNAcentral
UACGUAGGGCGCAAGCGUUAUCCGGAAUUAUUUGGGCGUAAAGAGCUCGUAGGCGGUUUUGUCGCGUCUGCCGUGAAAGUCCGGGGCUCAACUCCGGAUCUGCGGUGGGUACGGGCAGACUAGAGUGAUGUAGGGGAGACUGGAAUUCCUGGUGUAGCGGUGAAAUGCGCAGAUAUCAGGAGGAACACCGAUGGCGAAGGCAGGUCUCUGGGCAUUAACUGACGCUGAGGAGCGAAAGCAUGGGGGAGCGAACAGG